Molecule: long non-coding RNA, 396 nt
Filed under: Bos taurus (domestic cattle)
Lineage: Eukaryota; Metazoa; Chordata; Mammalia; Artiodactyla; Bovidae
Description: long non-coding RNA NONBTAT007606
Source: RNAcentral
AAUACAAAACUCACAUUUAUUAUUGACACUGUGAUAAUUUAAUUUACAAAUAUAUUCUGACUUUCCAACUUUAAGGCAAUAGCUUAAGUUAAAUACAUUGUUCUCUUCUUCAUCUCUUUCAAGCCCCCCAAACAAUCAAACAAACAACACUGAAAAACUUGGUCUGCAACAGCAAUGGAGAUUCUGAAACACAGACUUUUCAAAGUAAAAGAAAUUUUAGCAGCUCAAUCCAGUCUCUGUAUAAUACUAUGCAGCAUAAAUACCACUUGACCUUGAAGCUUACAGCAUGUUUUAAUGAGUUUCAAAAUCUUUUUUCACAGUUUCUGUGUGGCGAGUGUUACCCGGCCUUCUCAGUGCUGAGGGAUGUUCUAAUAUGCAGGUCCACUUGAUUUUAUG